CUAAUAAUUUCAACAUUGUCUCCGUCAGCAGUAACAUUUGUCUCUGUAACUGUUUACAAUGCCAGGAUAUUAUUAGUUCAAAAUCGUUAAGCCAGGCGGAGUAACGGGUCCCUGCAGGCCAUUGCACGUAAGGUCGCAUUCAGAUUCAGAUUCGAAAUUGUUUCUGUUGCCAUCGCAACCGGUGUAAUCGAAAGUUAGGCACUUUCCAGUU
This is a long non-coding RNA of Daphnia pulicaria, 211 nucleotides long. RefSeq lists it as uncharacterized. The record is from RefSeq and is a predicted model, not a curated record. Lineage: Eukaryota; Metazoa; Arthropoda; Branchiopoda; Diplostraca; Daphniidae. The transcript is spliced from 2 exons.